AGGCGAACCGGGGGAACUGAAACAUCUAAGUACCCCGAGGAAAAGAAAUCAACCGAGAUUCCCCCAGUAGCGGCGAGCGAACGGGGAGCAGCCCAGAGCCUGAAUCAGUGUGUGUGUUAGUGGAAGCGUCUGGAAAGGCGCGCGAUACAGGGUGACAGCCCCGUACACAAAAAUGCACAUGCUGUGAGCUCGAUGAGUAGGGCGGGACACGUGGUAUCCUGUCUGAAUAUGGGGGGACCAUCCUCCAAGGCUAAAUACUCCUGACUGACCGAUAGUGAACCAGUACCGUGAGGGAAAGGCGAAAAGAACCCCGGCGAGGGGAGUGAAAAAGAACCUGAAACCGUGUACGUACAAGCAGUGGGAGCACGCUUAGGCGUGUGACUGCGUACCUUUUGUAUAAUGGGUCAGCGACUUAUAUUCUGUAGCAAGGUUAACCGAAUAGGGGAGCCGAAGGGAAACCGAGUCUUAACUGGGCGUUAAGUUGCAGGGUAUAGACCCGAAACCCGGUGAUCUAGCCAUGGGCAGGUUGAAGGUUGGGUAACACUAACUGGAGGACCGAACCGACUAAUGUUGAAAAAUUAGCGGAUGACUUGUGGCUGGGGGUGAAAGGCCAAUCAAACCGGGAGAUAGCUGGUUCUCCCCGAAAGCUAUUUAGGUAGCGCCUCGUGAAUUCAUCUCCGGGGGUAGAGCACUGUUUCGGCAAGGGGGUCAUCCCGACUUACCAACCCGAUGCAAACUGCGAAUACCGGAGAAUGUUAUCACGGGAGACACACGGCGGGUGCUAACGUCCGUCGUGAAGAGGGAAACAACCCAGACCGCCAGCUAAGGUCCCAAAGUCAUGGUUAAGUGGGAAACGAUGUGGGAAGGCCCAGACAGCCAGGAUGUUGGCUUAGAAGCAGCCAUCAUUUAAAGAAAGCGUAAUAGCUCACUGGUCGAGUCGGCCUGCGCGGAAGAUGUAACGGGGCUAAACCAUG
This 974-nucleotide ribosomal RNA is filed under the name Escherichia coli. RNAcentral describes it as "partial 23S ribosomal RNA". It matches the Rfam family "Bacterial large subunit ribosomal RNA", at positions 177 to 1191 of the family's 2925-position model. Lineage: Bacteria; Pseudomonadati; Pseudomonadota; Gammaproteobacteria; Enterobacterales; Enterobacteriaceae. The record is from RNAcentral.